GAUGAACGCUAGCGAUAGGCUUAACACAUGCAAGUCGAGGGGUAACGUGUUGGAAGCUUGCUUCCGAUGACGACGACCGGCGGAUGGGUGCGUAACGCGUAUGCAACUUGCCUCACAGUGGAGAAUAACCCGGAGAAAUCCGGACUAAUGUUCCAUACACUCUUGAGUACGCCUGUACAUGAGAGGAAAGAUUUAUCGCUGUGAGAUAGGCAUGCGUCCUAUUAGGUAGUUGGUGAGGCAACGGCUCACC
RNAcentral lists this ribosomal RNA (250 nucleotides) under uncultured bacterium. RNAcentral describes it as "partial 16S ribosomal RNA". It matches the Rfam family "Bacterial small subunit ribosomal RNA", at positions 28 to 269 of the family's 1533-position model. The record is from RNAcentral.